This 667-nucleotide ribosomal RNA is filed under the name Cristimenes brucei. RNAcentral describes it as "bacterial SSU rRNA". It matches the Rfam family "Eukaryotic small subunit ribosomal RNA", at positions 1144 to 1804 of the family's 1831-position model. The record is from RNAcentral. Lineage: Eukaryota; Metazoa; Arthropoda; Malacostraca; Decapoda; Palaemonidae.
UUAAAGGAAUUGACGGAAGGGCACCACCAGGAGUGGAGCCUGCGGCUUAAUUUGACUCAACACGGGAAAGCUCACCAGGCCCGGACACCAGAAGGAUUGACAGAUUAAGAGCUCUUUCUCGAUUUGGUGGGUGGUGGUGCAUGGCCGUUCUUAGUUGGUGGAGUGAUUUGUCUGGUUAAUUCCGAUAACGAACGAGACUCUGGCCUACUAACUAGUCGACGGGCGCUCUUGUGCAUGAGCCCCGUUCGAGUUACUCUUCUUAGAGGGAUACGCAGCGAUUCUAGCUGCAGGAGAUUGAGCAAUAACAGGUCUGUGAUGCCCUUAGAUGUCCUGGGCCGCACGCGCGCUACACUGAAUGGGUCAGCGGGUGUACCCGGCCCGAGAGGGUCGGGAAAUCUGUUGAAAACCAUUCGUGAUAGGGAUUGGGGCUUGGAAUUGUUGCCCAUGAACGAGGAAUUCCUAGUAAGCGCAAGUCAUCAGCUUGCGUUGAUUAAGUCCCUGCCCUUUGUACACACCGCCCGUCGCUACUACCGAUUGAAUGAUUUAGUGAGGCCUUCGGACUGGCUGUCUUGGAUACGGCGGGCACUCGUGGCCGCGUUCCUUUACGUGCCGGAAAGAUGUCCAAACUUGAUCAUUUACAGGAAGUAAAAGUCGUAACAAGGUUUCC